GGAUUAGAAACCCCGGUAGUCCACGCUGUAAACGAUGAGAACUAGAUGUUGGUAGGGGAACCUAUCAGUAUCGAAGCUAACGCGAUAAGUUCUCCGCCUGGGAAGUACGGCCGCAAGGUUGAAACUCAAAUGAAUUGACGGGGGCCCGCACAAGCGGUGGAGCAUGUGGUUUAAUUCGAUGCAACGCGAAGAACCUUACCUACCCUUGACAUCCUGCGAAUCCCGAUGAGAGUUGGGAGUGCCGAAAGGAGCGCAGAGACAGGUGCUGCAUGGCUGUCGUCAGCUCGUGUUGUGAGAUGUUGGGUUAAGUCCCGUAACGAGCGCAACCCUUGUCCUUAGUUGCCAGCAAGUAAAGUUGGGGACUCUAAGGAGACUGCCGGUGAGGAACCGGAGG
This 394-nucleotide ribosomal RNA is filed under the name uncultured bacterium. Its description in RNAcentral is "bacterial SSU rRNA". It matches the Rfam family "Bacterial small subunit ribosomal RNA", at positions 775 to 1169 of the family's 1533-position model. The record is from RNAcentral.